GACGAACGCUGGCGGCGUGCUUAACACAUGCAAGUCGAACGGAAAGGCCCUGCUUUUGUUGGGUUCUCGAGUGGCGAACGGGUGAGUAACACGUGAGUAACCUGCCCUUGACUUUGGGAUAACUUCAGGAAACUGGGGCUAAUACCGGAUAGGAGCUCCUGCUGCAUGGUGGGGGUUGGAAAGUUUCGGCGGUUGGGGAUGGACUCGCGGCUUAUCAGCUUGUUGGUGGGGUAGUGGCUUACCAAGGCUUUGACGGGUAGCCCGCCUGAGAGGGUGACCGGCCACAUUGGUACUGAGAUACGGCCCAGACUCCUACGGGAGGCAGCAGUGGGGAAUAUUGCACAAUGGGCGGAAGCCUGAUGCAGCAACGCCGCGUGCGGGAUGACGGCCUUCGGGUUGUAAACCGCUUUCGCCUGUGACGAAGCGUGAGUGACGGUAAUGGGUAAAGAAGCACCGGCUAACUACGUG
This 468-nucleotide ribosomal RNA is filed under the name uncultured bacterium. RNAcentral's name for it is "partial 16S ribosomal RNA". It matches the Rfam family "Bacterial small subunit ribosomal RNA", at positions 28 to 507 of the family's 1533-position model. The record is from RNAcentral.